CAAUCUUCAAUCUCAAUUUUUCAUACAUAUACAUAUACAUAUAAAUAAAUUUAAGGGGAAAAGACCUAAAGGCCAAAACAACAAUGUCAUUAAAACAUUCAUGAUGCAUAAUUAAAACAUGGAUUCUAAAACCCUUUUGUAAUUUCGUGCUUGAUAAUCUUUAAAUCAUAUUCAAGUGUUUCAACAAGCCCAUGUAGUUUUAGGAUAAACCCCAUGUACCUUAGGUUGUUUAGGAGGAAGGAUGAAUUUCGAAUUUCACCUUAGUUCUUGAAACUAUUAACUUGCAAGGAUGAGCUGUUGAUCUUAAAAGAAAAGGCUAGGGUUUUCAAUUGAUGUUGAGAGAGUAAUUUUUCAUGAAAACCAACCUAAAGUGCUGAUAAAAUGCUUUAAUCUCAUGUUUUGGGCGUAUGGGGAGAAGGGAAAAUGACUCAAUUGCCCUCAAAACAUGGAUUUUAAAAAUUGAAUCAACUAGGCUUUGAUGCGAUAGGCAACGUGGCGUGUCGAUGCCAUCGAUGGGAUACCUGACGCGUUGCGCCCUAAUCGCGCUAAGCCUUAGUACUUUUGCCUUGCAGUUCCUGGAAAAAAUUAACCAAUACGAUAGGCGACGUGGUACGCCAAAAUCACAUUGGUCCACUAUUUUGGGACACCAAACAAGGUCUAAGCACGGCCCCCAAAAAAAUUUUAAACUUAUUCGAGAUAUACUAUCGACUUACCCCUUCGUGAAUCAACUUUAAAAAUUUACUAUCGGAGGUUGGGAAGGUCGUAAAAUGAAUCCUCAAAGAUUUGGAGCUCAAAAUAAGACUAAGUCUUUUUGACAUUUAGAAAAAAAUUUCAAGUUUUCAACUCUAUAAGCAUGCUACUAGGAGAUAAAACAUGAAGGACUUUUGCAGGGUAUUACACCUUCCCCCUAUAAGUAUAGUGUGCUACACACCCACAAAAGGGACUUUACUCAACACGACUCUAUGGAUACCCAAUGAUCCUGAACCAUGCCUUAAUACCACGUUUAUAACGACCUGAACCAGGGCCUAGUCAUGAUGGGUAUCUCAAGCCCACCAGGGACCAAAGACCACUCCUGUCAUGACCCAAAUAAAAGCCUGGCCAUGAUGGGUGUCUCAAGUCCAACAAGGACCGGAGACCACCCCUGCACCUAACCAAAUAAAACACCAUACCCCCAAUGUCAAAUAAAUUCUGAACAUAUAACAAGAUAGCAUAAGAUAAGUUCAAGGAAUUUAAGACAAUUCUAUAACCAAAAACCAACCAACAUCAUCACCCAAGUCCACAGUCGUAUCCACAAAGCCUUCAAACAAAACCAAAUUAAUAAACUAUCGGGACAUGCCCCUGACUCUGACAAUGAUUAUGUUAAUGAUAAGGUAAACUCUUCAGUUCUAGUCUAUGAAAGGAAACUGAUGAAAUAACCAAGUCUUCAUGAGAAUAAAAGCUCACCACUUCACCACUAACGACUGACGAACCAAGCCGAUCCACCUAACACUAUGAAAGAAAAGUAAAAGUAUCUUUGGUGCCUGUAUCACAUUAGAAUAUAGCAUCAGGAAAUGGUUAGUGGGUUGGGAACUAGUAAUAACUCAGGGGUAGGGGGUAAAAUAAUGCCAUGAACCAUAUUUUUAAAACCAUCCAAGCAAUGCAUAUAUAUAUAUAUAUAAACAUGUCAUGUCGGGAAGGGAACAAGGCUUAGCAUAAAGUAAAACUUUAUCCUGGACUAUGUAUCUCAACUCUCAGAAACAGGCACCCACGGGCUAUAUGGGUUCAGCUCUUCCUGGUGAAAGGGCCCAGCACAUAUUAUCCGCACGAAUCGGAGAUAUCAAAGAAGAUUAUGGAAUGCCCCAACCCUACGUCAAUCCAAGAUACAAUCAUAUCAAUACUGUGAACUAUGCAUAUAGGUCAUCACAAACAAACCUCAUGUCAGAAAAUAUAAUUUUCCACUACAAGUCAUCCAAGAUCCACAGCUUUACGGCUUCGAUAUAUAACCCCCAGUAAGCCUAAUUUGAAGCAAGUUUCACAUAACUCAUUUAUUAAUUAACGAACCAACCAUUAAGGCACAUAUGGGCAUCAUCAUACCCUUACUCUUGCAAGUUUAUUUCUAUGCCAUAACAAUCACAUUAACCUGGGGGAAUGCCUCGACCUCCUUUAGUUUAUCAAAUUAAGUAGAGGGGAAUGCCUCGACCUAGUUUGCUCAUUUAAUCAAAACAUAGCCAACAAGUCUUCAAAAGCCCAUGUUCAUUGUUUAACCCUUUAUACAAUGCAAUUUCAUAGGUAGGUACGUUAAACCAAGUGACAAUCUCAUAAUUCAAAACCAUUUAUGCAAGUGGGUUGAGGGAACAUUAUUAUUCAGAACCAAAUUCCAGUUUCAAAACACCAAUUUGGGGGGAAACAUGACCCCUGAGUUUAUUCACCAUUUCUAUGCACCCUAAAAGUUCAAAACAAUUAAUAAAGCAUAAUCAAUGCAUAAUAAAUCAUGAAAAACCAGUUUAAGAAUCAACCAAGUCAAAACCCUCAACCACAUCAAAAUCCAUAUUCAAAAUUCAUAUAAUUAACCCAUGUAAAAUGCAUGUUUUUUAUAAAGUAGUAAUUGAGGAAGAGUAACAUGCCAAAAAUACCAAAGUUUAUGAAGAGAAAUUAACCCUUGAGAGCUUUAAUUGAUGAACUUCUUGGAAACCCUAAGUAUCUUGCUUGAGAGAAUUUAGAGAGAAGAGAGUGCUUUUGAUUGUGUUAUAGAUGAGAAAUAACCCCUUAAAGUGUUUUAUGAUCGUGGGGUCUAAGUAAGGAAAAAGGGGAACUCACCAAAAUUGAAAAUUAGUCGUCAGUGACCACGGGUCACUAUACAACUCGUAGAGACUCGUUACGACUUAUCACCAUGAGUCGUUGUCAAGAAAGUGUCAUUAGGCUCACAUAUUGUUGACCCUACGACUUAUAUUGUACGACUCGUUAGGGGACCUUAUGACUCGUAGGGUCCUAGUCGUCACUAAGACAGGAACCCUUAGAACCUACACUAGUUUGACUACGGUUGAGACAUUAUUACUCGUAAUGAGUCCAUACAACUCAUUCGAAGCCACUCGUAUUCAGAACAGAAAACUUAGCCACACACAUAGGUCAAGCUAUGAUUGGAUCUUACGACUCGUCAAGACUCCCUACUACUCAUAAGGUGAGCCAUAGUCAGGAUUGUGAGGAUAAAAUUUUUAAAACUUUCAAGGAUAAAAAUUUUAGGGUGUUACAACCCCCUUACCCUAACCUCAAGAGCACAAUAAUGAUAAAAAUAAAGCGGAAGCCAAUCAAACCAAUGAUAAUAGUAAUAGGAAUAGAUCAAUCAAAUGACGGUUCAAAGAAAUUCAAAUAAUAAUCCACCCACACUUAUCCAUGAAAGCCUCUAAAACCAGAAUAACAUCUAAGUCGAGACAUGCCCCCGACUAUAACCAAAAAGAAUCCAAAAUUACUAUGAAAAUAAAGCAAGAAUAAUGAAAUGACAAGGUCUUCCAAAGUAUAGAGGCUCACCACUUCACAACAACUCAACAGACGUUCUCAACCACCUAACGCUGCACAUGAGCAAUAGAAAACCCUUCGGACCCUGCAUCAUGAAAAAAUGUAGCUUUCAGGGAUAGUCAGUGGGAUAGGCACUGGCAUGUAACUUAGGGAAUAAGGAUAAAGUAAUACAAUUACUAAAAUCCAGUCAUAAACCAUAUGCACAACAUUCAUAUAUAUAUAUAUAUAUGUAGGAUGACGAGAUGGGGACAGGGGUCAUGAACAUGAGAGUUUAAUAAUUUAGCCGGAACUAUGUAGCCCGUUCCGUCCUUAAGGCACCCAUGGGCUAUAUGGGUUUAGCACCCCCUGUUGAAAUGGCCCUAGUGUGUGUUAGCCGUACGAAUUGAGAAAAAAUUGAGGGAACGCUAAAUCCUCUAAGGCAACAGUCAUCCUAAUAUAUAUAUAUAUAUAUAUAUAUAUAUCGAGUGUUGACCAAGAACACGGUCAUAUAGACCCCCCAACACCGACAAACAUGGUUUUCAGUACCCGUCGCCCUGGAACUUACACCUAGUGAGCUGCAUAAUUCUUUGAAGCCCAAAUUAAAAUAAUUUGCACAUAAACUAACCAUUAAUCUAGGAGUUAUUCAUUAAGGCAUUUACCACUUGGUAUCGUCAUACCAAUAUGCUUACAAGCUUAUUUAACGAUGCCAAACCAAUUCACAUAACUAAAUUGGACUCUCAAGUUCCUUUGAAAAUCAAAAAUCAAGGCCACCAAGGCCAUCCAAAACCAUAUUCAUAUCCAUUUAUCCUUUAAUGCAAUGCAAUGGGUUCAAAACAAGUUAAACCAUGCAAUCCCUAUUUAAAACUAAGAUUAUAAAGUGAGUUAUGGUUAAUGCCAAUUUCAAGUAAAAAUUCAUCCAAUUUUGGGAAACCUGUGUCCCUGAUUCUAACUGUUUAAACAAUGCACUAAUUCGGUCCCAAAAACAUCAAUUUAAAGCAUGGAUAAUCAAUUUAAAACAUGAGACAAGUAAUUCAAUCAGUAGAAACUUAAAUCCCUCAGCCCAAUUUCAAAUCCCACAAUUUAAAUCACAUGAAAAUCCGUUCAAUUAAUGCCAUAAUUUUAAAUUCAAGUUUAAGGAAUAGAAACAUGCCUAAAAUACACAAGGAAUUGAAAACAACUCAGAGUUCAGAGAUUGAAUGGUGAAUCCCUUGUGAAACCUUUAGAGUUUCUUGGUUUAAGUGUUAAAGAAGAAGAGAAUGGUAUUUGAUCCUUAAAACUGAUGGGAAAGGGGUGUAUUUUACGUUUAAGGGUCGUACAAGGGGUAAAAAUACCAACAGCCCCUCACCCCAAGUGGAAAAAACAAAAACUGAAUGAAUUUAAAACAGCAGCUGGCACGCCAAUAUCGCGGAGGUUAGCCUCCAUGCCACGCUAAUAUUGUGGAGGUUAAUCUCCGUGACACGGCCUUAUCAUGGAAGCUUACUGCCUCGGGGUCCCAAAAUGACCCCGAACUCCUUUCAAAAAGUUCAAAACUUUUUCAAAUUACCCUUUUAAUAUCCCUAAACAUAGUUCAAGUCAAAAGUCAAUAUUACGCAUGUGGAAGGGUGAAAAAUAAAAUGAUCAAAAUUUUUAAGGGGUCUUACAUUAUUGAGCAUACCAAUUAUGACUGUAGCCUUAGAAUCUGCCUUUAGCAUUGGAGGUCCCAUUAUUAGAAAAUUUUAAAGUUUAAUUUUACCUACAAAUGCCGAAGCAAGGUUGUGUGCUAGAGAUUGUCUUUGCGAACACGAAGACUAUGAUGGAUCGGACAACGAUGAGGAUAAAAUUGUGGUAGAUCUCCAACAAUAUCUUGCUAGACUUGGCUCGCAUUAAUAGUUUCUGCUUAUUGUGGAAACAAAGUUGGAGCAUGUGAUUAUACAGUUAGCUCAUGAGAUUGCUGAGAAACACGUAGCAGUUGAAGGUGAAUUGAUUGUAACACCAUCUGAUAUGCUAGCAGGAAGGCAUCUAAGCAUACAAAUAGAUGAUCUUGUGCUAUCUAUAUGCCAAUUCAAAGCGUUCUAAUUUUGUUUAGAAGUACUGCCAUAAUUCAAGUAGAUGAUGAAUAUGAUUUCAUUAGAACAAUCCAAGCAAGAUGGAGUUGGCUAUACGGAUCCUCGUUGUGCAUGUUGCUUUAUCUAUGUUCUGUAUUCUAUAUUGUGGAAAUUCACCUGAGAUUGGUUUCUAAAGAUAAGUAAUAUAUUGUUGUGUCUUUCCCUUUGUGUAA
Capsicum annuum is the source of this 5728-nucleotide RNA transcript. It is a transcript of the gene named MLO-like protein 1, with no coding region annotated. The transcript has 3 exons. The record is from RefSeq and is a predicted model, not a curated record. NCBI's taxonomy places the organism in Eukaryota, Viridiplantae, Streptophyta, Magnoliopsida, Solanales, Solanaceae.